CUGCUAUCGGAUUGAUACUAAGCCAUGCGAGUCUUUGUAGUAAUACAAGGCAGACGGCUCAGUAACACGUAGUCAACCUACCCUAUGGACAAGAAUAAUCUCGGGAAACUGGGCAUAAUUCUUGAUAGAUCAUAAUGCCUGGAAUGGUUUAUGGUUAAAAUGAUUCGUCGCCAUAGGAUGGGACUGCGGCCUAUCAGCUUGUUGGUGAGGUAAUGGCCCACCAAGGCGAUUACAGGUACGGGCUCUGAGAGGAGAAGCCCGGAGAUGGGUACUGAGACACGGACCCAGGCCCUAUGGGGCGCAGCAGGCGAGAAAACUUUGCAAUGUGCGAAAGCACGACAAGGUUAAUCCGAGUGAUUUCUGCUAAAGAAAUCUUUUGCCAGUCAUAAAACCACUGGUGAAUAAGGGGUGGGCAAGUUCUGGUGUCAGCCGCCGCGGUAAAACCAGCACCUCAAGUGGUCAGGAUGAUUAUUGGGCCUAAAGCAUCCGUAGCCGGCUUUGUUAGUUUUCGGUUAAAUCCAUGUGCUCAACGCAUGGGCUGCCGAAAAUACUGCAUAGCUAGGGAGUGGGAGAGGUAGACGGUACUCAGUAGGAAGGGGUAAAAUCCUUUGAUCUAUUGAUGACCACCUGUGGCGAAGGCGGUCUACCAGAACACGUUCGACGGUGAGGGAUGAAAGCUGGGGGAGCAAACCGGAUUAGAUACCCGGGUAGUCCCAGCUGUAAACGAUGCAGACUCGAUGAUGCAUUGGCAUAAUAGCCAGUGCAGUGUCGCAGGGAAGCCGUUAAGUCUGCCGCCUGGGAAGUACGUACGCAAGUAUGAAACUUAAGGAAUUGGCGGGGGAGCACCACAAGGGGUGAAGCCUGCGGUUCA
This 871-nucleotide ribosomal RNA is filed under the name uncultured marine group I thaumarchaeote. Its description in RNAcentral is "SSU rRNA". It matches the Rfam family "Archaeal small subunit ribosomal RNA", at positions 27 to 904 of the family's 1478-position model. Lineage: Archaea; Thermoproteati; Nitrososphaerota. The record is from RNAcentral.